UACGGAGGAUCCAAGCGUUAUCCGGAAUCAUUGGGUUUAAAGGGUCCGUAGGUGGAUAAUUAAGUCAGAGGUGAAAUCCUGCAGCUCAACUGUAGAAUUGCCUUUGAUACUGGUUAUCUUGAGUUAUUAUGAAGUAGUUAGAAUAUGUGGUGUAGCGGUGAAAUGCAUAGAUAUCACAUAGAAUACCAAUUGCGAAGGCAGAUUACUAAUAAUUAACUGACACUGAUGGACGAAAGCGUGGGGAGCGAACAGG
This 253-nucleotide ribosomal RNA is filed under the name uncultured bacterium. Its description in RNAcentral is "partial 16S ribosomal RNA". It matches the Rfam family "Bacterial small subunit ribosomal RNA", at positions 524 to 776 of the family's 1533-position model. The record is from RNAcentral.